AACGAACGCUGGCGGCAUGCCUAACACAUGCAAGUCGAACGGGAUCCAGGCUUCGGCCUGGUGAGAGUGGCGGACGGGUGAGUAACACGUGGGAACCUGCCUUUUGGUUCGGGAUAACCGCGGGAAACUGCGGCUAAUACCGGAUGCUCCCGAGAGGGGAAAGAUUUAUCGCCAGAAGAGGGGCCCGCGUCCGAUUAGGUAGUUGGUGAGGUAAUGGCUCACCAAGCCGACGAUCGGUAGCUGGUCUGAGAGGAUGAUCAGCCACACUGGGACUGAGAUACGGCCCAGACUCCUACGGGAGGCAGCAGUGGGGAAUAUUGGACAAUGGGGGCGAACCCUGAUCCAGCAAUGCCGCGUGAGUGAUGAAGGCCUUAGGGUUGUAAAGCUCUUUUGCCAGGGAAGAUGAUGACUGUACCUGGAGAAUAAGCCCCGGCUAACUUCGUGCCAGCAGCCGCGGUAAU
Molecule: ribosomal RNA, 461 nt
Filed under: uncultured bacterium
Lineage: Bacteria
Description: bacterial SSU rRNA
Rfam family: Bacterial small subunit ribosomal RNA
Source: RNAcentral